CCGAGUUUACAACUCCCCAAACCCCUGUGAACAUACCACUUGUUGCCUCGGCGGAUCAGCCCGCUCCCGGUAAAACGGGACGGCCCGCCAGAGGACCCCUAAACUCUGUUUCUAUAUGUAACUUCUGAGUAAAACCAUAAAUAAAUCA
This 148-nucleotide unclassified non-coding RNA is filed under the name soil metagenome. Its description in RNAcentral is "partial internal transcribed spacer 1". The record is from RNAcentral.